This 253-nucleotide ribosomal RNA is filed under the name uncultured bacterium. RNAcentral describes it as "partial 16S ribosomal RNA". It matches the Rfam family "Bacterial small subunit ribosomal RNA", at positions 524 to 776 of the family's 1533-position model. The record is from RNAcentral.
UACGAAGGGGGCUAGCGUUGCUCGGAAUUACUGGGCGUAAAGGGCGCGUAGGCGGAUAUCUAAGUUGGGGGUGAAAGCCCGGGGCUCAACCUCGGAAUAGCCUUCAAUACUGGAUAUCUUGAGUACGGGAGAGGUGAGUGGAACUCCGAGUGUAGAGGUGAAAUUCGUAGAUAUUCGGAAGAACACCAGUGGCGAAGGCGACUCACUGGCCCGUUACUGACGCUGAGGCACGAAAGCGUGGGGAGCAAACAGG